UGGGGAAUAUUGGACAAUGGGGGCAACCCUGAUCCAGCAAUGCCGCGUGUGUGAAGAAGGUCUUCGGAUUGUAAAGCACUUUCGACGGGGACGAUGAUGACGGUACCCGUAGAAGAAGCCCCGGCUAACUUCGUGCCAGCAGCCGCGGUAAUACGAAGGGGGCUAGCGUUGCUCGGAAUGACUGGGCGUAAAGGGCGUGUAGGCGGUUUACACAGUCAGAUGUGAAAUCCCCGGGCUUAACCUGGGAGCUGCAUUUGAUACGUGUAGACUAGAGUGUGAGAGAGGGUUGUGGAAUUCCCAGUGUAGAGGUGAAAUUCGUAGAUAUUGGGAAGAACACCGGUGGCGAAGGCGGCAACCUGGCUCAUGACUGACGCUGAGGCGCGAAAGCGUGGGGAGCAAACAGGAUUAGAUACCCUGGUAGUCCACGCUGUAAACGAUGUGUGCUAGAUGUUGGGUAACUUUGUUAUUCAGUGUCGCAGUUAACGCGUUAAGCACACCGCCUGGGGAGUACGGCCGCAAGG
RNAcentral lists this ribosomal RNA (521 nucleotides) under uncultured bacterium. RNAcentral describes it as "partial 16S ribosomal RNA". It matches the Rfam family "Bacterial small subunit ribosomal RNA", at positions 355 to 893 of the family's 1533-position model. The record is from RNAcentral.